This is a non-coding RNA of Caenorhabditis elegans, 130 nucleotides long. Lineage: Eukaryota; Metazoa; Nematoda; Chromadorea; Rhabditida; Rhabditidae. The record is from Ensembl.
UGACAAAUCACCUGUCAGGUGGUACUGUAGAUUUGUACAGCAACCGACAACUUUUCACCUUUUUUACUUUUCGUCGCCGCCGCGUCGGUGUCAACUCGACCAAAAUCCACCUGCGGAUUACUGUACUAAU